AAAUAAGUAAGCUGGAAGUUUUGCUUCUCAGGGCGGAAGGAUGAAAGAUGUGUUUUGAAAAUGCCACGUGACUACCGUCCCCCUCCCUCCCGGAUCAGUCCGCAUGUUCAUGGCACCAGCAUUUGUUAUGGAAUAUAUUGAGCAAACCUGGAGAUAUUAUUGUUGUCAUUGCUGUGGAUCUUUACUGACUUGGCUCGGGACCAGCACUCCUGUUGUUGGACAGAAAGACAUCAACUCAGUGACUUGAGAUAUGACUGCACUGUGCUGUUGCUGUGACUCCAGUUAAUUCUACAAGACAUGCUGUGUAAGUAAACAAACAACAACAGUUUGGUCUGCAUUUCUUGAAAGAUCACAUCCCCCAAACUUAGUUUAGAGGGUCUACACUGUAUAUAGUGAAGUCUGCAAGUUUUCUAACAGCAAAAUUUGUUUUGUGCCCAAAUCAU
This is a long non-coding RNA of Pelmatolapia mariae (spotted tilapia), 443 nucleotides long. RefSeq lists it as uncharacterized. Lineage: Eukaryota; Metazoa; Chordata; Actinopteri; Cichliformes; Cichlidae. The transcript is spliced from 3 exons. The record is from RefSeq and is a predicted model, not a curated record.